CGGGAAACUGGGGAUAAUACCGGAUAUGUAGAGUUUCCUGGAAUGGUACUCUAUUGAAAUGUAUUCGUGCGCCUAAGGGUGGAUCUGCGGCAGAUUAGGUAGUUGGCGGGGUAAAUGCCCACCAAGCCAGUAAUCUGUACGGGUUGUGAGAGCAAGAGCCCGGAGAUGGAACCUGAGACAAGGUUCCAGGCCCUACGGGGCGCCGCAGGCGGGAAAACCUCGGAAAUGCACGCAAGGGCGACGGGGGAAACCCAAGUGCCACUCUUAACGGGGUGGCUUUUCUUAAGUGUAAAAAGCUUUUGGAAUAAGAGCUGGGCAAGACCGGUGCCAGCCGCCGCGGUAAUA
This 345-nucleotide ribosomal RNA is filed under the name uncultured archaeon. Its description in RNAcentral is "partial 16S ribosomal RNA". It matches the Rfam family "Archaeal small subunit ribosomal RNA", at positions 133 to 475 of the family's 1478-position model. The record is from RNAcentral.